ACUCAAAUGAAUUGACGGGGGCUCACACAAGCGGUGGAGCAUGUGGCUCAAUUCGAAGCAACGCGAAGAACCUUAUCCUGGGCUUGACAUGUAUGGAUUAGUCUCCUGAAAGGGAGAUAACACCCGCAAGGGCGGAACAUACACAGGUGCUGCAUGGCUGUCGUCAGCUCGUGCUGUGAAGUGUCGGGUUAAGUCCCUCAACGAGCGAAACCCCUGUCGUUAGUUGCUAAGGCGCAAGCCAGGACUCUAACGAGACUGCCGGCGUCAAGCCGGAGGAAGGUGGGGAUGACGUCAAGUCCUCAUGGCCUUUAUGCCCAGGGCUGCACACGUGCUACAAUGGCACUUACAAAGCGACGCAAGACCGCAAGGUGGAGCAAAUCGCAGAAAAGGUGCCCCAGUUCAGAUUGGAGUCUGCAACUCGACUCCAUGAAGUUGGAAUCGCUAGUAAUCGCGGAUCAGCUAUGCCGCGGUGAAUGUGUUCCUGAGCCUUGCACACACCGCCCGU
This 505-nucleotide ribosomal RNA is filed under the name uncultured bacterium. Its description in RNAcentral is "partial 16S ribosomal RNA". It matches the Rfam family "Bacterial small subunit ribosomal RNA", at positions 899 to 1397 of the family's 1533-position model. The record is from RNAcentral.